AUGCAAGCCAACACUGCCAGCUCUGAAAAAAAAAAUAAUAAUAAUAACAACCCAUGCUCUAAACACCUCAAUGGGGCCGAAGCCUGCAGGGGAAGGAGGCGCACAGAGGAAGAGGGACCUGCCUGCAACUUUCCCCCAGGCUUGUACAACCGAUACUCAGAGGUACCAAAGGAUCCUUACACCCUGGAGGCUACGGUCACCUCCCAAGGGAGCUGCCCCCUGCUCUGGCUGGUCAAACGGAACCAAGUCCGUCUUCCUGAGAGGUUUGGUCCCCUUCAACCAGCUACAGCAGGGCUGGCAAUACCCAGUCCUUGGAGAAACAGAAGAGAUUCGCCUGAAGCUGAAAUUACUUAUUAAUGCUUCCCUUAAGGAAUGACUCUGAUUUUGUCAUAUACUCUCAUGCUCCUGGGAAGGGAGAAGAGAGGAGCCCUGGGUUCAAAAGCAAAGAGGAGUCUCAUGCUCUGCACAUAGAGGUCCAUGCCCUUGCAACCACAACUAGAACCGCUCCCAUGCUCUUGACACACGCAUUCAGCAAAGAUUUUGAGGAUGGAAUUUGUGCCAGCCAGGGGAAGAGUAUAGGACCUAGAAGACAGGGCUCCUGCUCACAGGGGGCCAACAGUCUAAGAAAUUAGACACAUGAAUAUGGCUCAAUUCAAUGGAAUUGCGAGUCAAAGCACAGAUAGUUCCAAAACAUAAUUCUUCUCACAUAGUCCACCAAGUAUGCCUGGCACAUGGCACGCCAUCAAAUCUCUACCCAUCCAUACAGCCCCAAAUACCAUUUUAAGUGAAAAUACCAAGUCAUAGAGGACUGCCUGCAGCAUGGUACUAUUAUAUAAAAAACAAGCAAUAUAUUGUUUAGCAAUAAAUGCAUAAAUGAUAAAACUAUUAAAAAUAACAUUUAAAUUAUUUUUUAAAAAGGAAUUUGGAAUAAUAGUUGCCUCUGAGGUGAAACUAAAGAGAUAAAUUGGGAAAUGGCUUCAGGAAGCUUCAGCAGUAUUGGUAAGGUUCUUUUCCUGAGGUGGAUGGUUAUUUGUGGAAUUGCGAGUCAAAGCACAAAUAUCUAUUCACUAAGCAAUAUGCACAUGACUCAGUUCCCUGAUCUAUGGGAUGGGGAUAAUAAACAUACCACCUACCUCAUAUGGUUUUAUGCGGAAUGAAAGGAGAAUACAUGUAAAGGAAGUUAGAAAGCUCUCAAUAAUUGUUAUCGAUUAUUAAGGGGGUUAUCCUGACCUGUCUUUUUUCCAAAAUGUAUCUCUUUGACAGUGCACCUGGGAGUGUACCCAGAACUUAGCUAAAGCUCAUAACAUUUGUUGUUUGAAUUCCAGAAGCAUGCGUGUUUUCACAUGCUGUGCUCUGACAGUGUGGUCUCAAUGCCAAGAGCCCACCACACCUCCACACAGGGGAUGUGGUGCUUAUCCGUACAUACCUGGGAGUCAGGGAGACCCAGGUUUGGAUCCUGCCCCUCUCACUUUUUAGCUCUGCGACAGCCUCUCUGAACUUUAGUUAACAUUGCAGAAACCUUAGUUUCCUCAUCCAUAAAAUGGGGACAAUGAUACUUAAAGCUGAUUUAAAGAUUUAAAAGGUUAUGGUUACAAAGAGCCAAAUAUAAGCCCUCAAGAAACAGUACCUGUUGUUUUGCUAUUGUACAUGGCAACAGCUCAAGGCUGAUGUUGGGUCCUCAGGCACCUGACAAAGGGAAGAUGAGAUUUUUAAAAUAAAAUAAAAAAGAACUCAAAAAAUAAAUAAAACCUCCUUACAGGAUCUUUUUAUUUUCCAAUUAUUAAUUCUAUUAUCAUGUAGCAUGCAUUCACCCUUACAUGUGUUACUAGUAUGUAAUAAAAUAUACUAUUAAAAACUGCUUCAUACAUGGGACUGAUCUUAAAGAAAUAUCCUGACUGGGAAGCCUUCAUUUGUGAGCAGUGCUGAGAUGCUAGUCUGUAACCAUACGUCCUCCUGAGUACAUGAAGGCCACAGAGUGUGUAUUCCAAAGGUGUGGAGUUUAGGCAUAAGCACAGGAGGCAGAGUGCCUGGGCUCAAAUCCCAGAAUUCCUACCCACUCCCACCAGCUGCGCCACUUUGGGCAAGCUGCUUGACCUCUCUGGUUAUUUCUUUAUCCUGUAGAAUGGAGAUAUUGAUAAUAGCAUCUACCUUGUAGGGUUUUCGUAAGAAUGAAAUAAAAAAUACAUGGAAAUGAAUAAAACUAGUGAUGGGUACAUAAUAUGUUUUUAAGGAUUUUUAUCUUUGAUAAUGUACCUGAAAUGUUCCUGGAACUAAAUUGGUGUUCAAUAAACACUUAUUUAAUAAAUCACCUGUUCUUUUUUUGUAUUCUAAACACAAACUGUGGGAUCAUAGAAUUUCUGGUUCAACUAUUUCUGCUGUUCUCUUUAAACACAGUACACUGGUGCAGACCAGUAGUAAGGAGUGGGAUACUGGCCAGUCCCCUCUCCUUUUUCUGAUGGAGCCACCCCCAGAGCUAGACACAUGCCUCUUAGGGGACCUAAAGCACAGUGAUAGAGCUCUGAAGCAGAUACCCAGAAGAACAGAAGGGUUAAAUGAUGUGAAAACAAAUAUGACAUAGUCAAAAACUAGAUGGACUUGACAAGACCUUCUACCUCUGGGAGAGCAGAAGUCAUGUCACUAAAGAUUAAAGGAUGGCAGGUGCACAUGGUAGGAGAAAAGGCCACUUUCAAAUUGGGGAUUUUAUGGCCAAAAUACCUGAUGAAACUAGACAGGACCAUGUAAGUCUAAGAUAAAUAACGUCUUCCUCUAUGUUAGGAAGAAGCAACCCACACGCAACUCGACUUGAAAACCCCCUCCUACUGGGUGAUUUAGGAAGCAGCUAUGUACCUAUUGCAGGUCAUAGGACUUCUGACAAGGGUCAGAAGACAUGGGGUAAAUAUGUCGAUCCCAAUAUCCCUUGACCUUGACCUUCCCACAGCGUGAAAGCAGUUCCAGCCACAGCCUGCCUCCAAAUCCAAGAUUCCAUUCUUGGCCCCAUGUAUUUGGCCCCAAGAAUACAACUUCAAUGCAAGUUUCUGUAUGAUGUUCAUAAAACUAGAAGAGGAAAUGCAUCUCUGCUUCUGCUAGCCACUAAAAAAGA
This 3100-nucleotide long non-coding RNA is filed under the name Canis lupus familiaris (dog). RNAcentral's name for it is "lncRNA (ENSCAFG00030019489.1)". The stretch from base 220 to 292 matches the Rfam family "mir-133 microRNA precursor family". The record is from RNAcentral. Lineage: Eukaryota; Metazoa; Chordata; Mammalia; Carnivora; Canidae.